AUUGAUGUAUUCAACGAGUUUAUAGCCUUGGUCGACAGGUCCGGGUAAUCUUUGAAAUUUCAUCGUGAUGGGGAUAGAUCAUUGUAAUUGUUGGUCUUCAAC
RNAcentral lists this ribosomal RNA (102 nucleotides) under Olea europaea subsp. europaea. Its description in RNAcentral is "SSU_rRNA_eukarya". It matches the Rfam family "Eukaryotic small subunit ribosomal RNA", at positions 1502 to 1604 of the family's 1831-position model. The record is from RNAcentral. Lineage: Eukaryota; Viridiplantae; Streptophyta; Magnoliopsida; Lamiales; Oleaceae.